GUGGUGCACGGUUCUGCCUUUGUUCCGCGCCCCUGCGUCCGGAAAUCUCGCCGCGCCCCUGCGUCCGGAAAUCUCGCCGCGCCCCUACGCAAUCACCUCCUCCUCUCCCCUCACUACGCCGCCACCUCCUCCUCUCCCCCUCACUGCGUCGCCCUCCUCUCCCACUCACUGCGUCGUCCCCUGGAUCCUCGCCCCAGCCUCUCCAACCGCCUCCGCGCUGUCCCCUGGAUCUCGCGUCGCGCGUCUGCAGCACGCCCGCCACACACGCCGCGAUUGGAGAUUGGUGGAAAGCGGUCCGCGGCUUCAACUCCGACAUCUCCGGCGAGCUCGAGCGCCUCGCUGCAACGACGGGGGCGACGCUCAGAUCCGACGUGCCGGACGCGGCCGCCGUGGAUCUGAACGACCUCGAGUCCAUGGAUCUGUCGGCGGACGCUGCUCCGCUGGAGCACAUGGAGCCGUUCGUGCUGGCAUGCGCGCGGGUGCUGGGCCCGACGCCGGGCCGGACGCGUGGCGUCGCCGACGGCCGGGUCGUCUUCUGGGACGGCAAGCGGUGGGUCCCAUUCGCGACGGCCUCUCCGCGCUGGACGCAGGAGCUCUGCGGCGGGCCCAAGGCCUCGCCGCUGGAGUAUCUCCCCACGCCCGGCGAUGGCGCCCUGCACCUCACGCCCGUGCUCCGCCCCCACACCCAGCAGGCAGGCAUGGAUCUCGCAGGGCAGGGAUCUCGCGGAUCACGCCGUGCGGGGAUCUCGCGGAUCACGCCGGGCGGGGAUCUCGGCCAAGCCUGAUCAGAAGUUUGGGGCCCUAUCAAAGCGAUUCGCAGAAGUGGAGGCUGGGGGAUCGAAGCGGAGGUGGUGGAGAUGACGGAGGCGCUGAAGUCCGUCUGGAAUCCGGUGACACAGAAAAAGAUCAGAGUUUCUCCUUCUACUUCGUCGGGUGAAGUCCCGGUGGUGGACAACACCUCGACGCUGAUCCCUCUGGAAGCUGCGGCAGGCAUUGCUGGUGCCGAUGCAACCCACAUUUGGCAUUCCCACUCCAAUCGAAGGGUUUUUGGUGUCGCUGAACAGGACACUAGGCUUCUGCUCUGCUUACUAAUCCAUUGGUUUCAAGAUGACAGAAGCCGUCAUCAAACUGAAUACUUCUUCUAACUGAAUACUUCUUCCCAGCUGACAGAUCAGAUCAAACUUGACGUGUGUUAGGUAUCAGAGAAAAAAACCAAGGCAUGGUGCACUUCUAAAGAGCACAUCUGCAGCUGCCCGCUCGGGCUCCGUUUCGAUAAGACUAGGGACCUGUACAUCGCCGACGCCUACUUCAGCUUGCUCAAAGUUGGCCCCGAGGGCAGGCUGGAGAGUUGCUGUGAAAACUCUCAAGCCCCCACCCGACGGCGCGAGCGAGGCACGCGGCCCUCCCGGCGGGGUGGACGCGGCCCCUGGCUGUGAGGCGACGAUGGGGCUGGAGGCUGCGAUGGCGCUGGGCGACCCGCCGGCGGACUACGCAUCCAUCGCGACGGUGGGGCUGUUCGUGGCAUUCAUGUGCGUCUGCAUCGUCGUCGGGCACCUCCUCGAGGAGAACCGCUGGAUGAACGAGUCCAUCACCAUGCUCUUCAUCGGCUUUGGGACCUUGAUGUUGCAAUGCUGUAUGUUGGGGAUUGCAGGGGCUGGGAACUAGAGCAGUCAUCCUGUUCGCGUCGAGCGAGAAGCAUUCACGUGUGCUGGUGUUCAGUGAGGACCUCUUAUUUAUUUACCUGCUGCCGCUGAUCAUAUUCAAUGCAGGGUUCCAAGUGAAGAAGAAACAGUUCUUUCGAAACUUCAUUACUAUUACACUGUUUGGUGCAGUUGGCACCUUGAUCUCUUUUACUGUAAUAUCCCUUGGCGCUCUAGGACUAAUAUCAAGGCUUAAUAUCGGCGCACUUGAACUGGGAGACUAUCUUGCACUUGGGGCAAUAUUCUCGGCCACAGACUCGGUUUGUACCUUGCAGAACUUUGAUCAUGGAAAUAUCAGCGGUGCCAAAUUACUGAACUUCAUUGGCAGUUUCCUUUAUCUGUUCGGCUCCAGCACCAUUCUUGGAGUAGCUUCUGGACUUCUUAGUGCUUAUACCAUUAAGAAGUUGUACUUUGGCAGGCAUUCAACCGAUCAUGAAGUUUCCAUUAUGAUGCUAAUGGCUUAUUUAUCUUACAUGCUAGCUGAAAAAGUUCGAGGGUCACAACCAAGCAUGCCUUUGCAACAUUGUCGUUUAUCUUCGAGACUUUUCUGUUUCUUUAUGUUGGUAUGGAUGCAUUGGAUAUAGAGAAGUGGAAGAUUGUCGGUCAAACUUAUAGGCAUACUCUCUCCCUCUUUCUCUCUCUUCAUUGCUCAACUAGAAGAUCUUUCUUCUGGAUCUGUAUUUUCUAUCAUGUGCAGCCCGGUAAAGUCUAUCGCUUUGAGCAGCACCAUUUUAGCCUUGGUGCUGGUUUCAAGAGCUGCUUUUGUUUUCCCACUAUCCUUUCUAUCAAAUUUGACCAAAAAACUCCAAAUGGAAAGAUAUCUUUUAGGCAGCAGGUAAGUCUUUAACUUAGCAACAUCUUAACUUCUUAUGUUCUCUUGAAACAGUUGUUAUAUUCCUUACAUGAUAUUGGUCAUUUAGGUUAUUGUUUGGUGGGCGGGUCUCAUGAGAGGUGUUGUGUCUAUUGUGUUGGCUUACAAUAAGGUUAAUCUUGUGUUUGGUCUAUCUGGUUUGAGCUUUGGUCUGGAAUUAUGUUACUGCUUUUGUUUCCUCUAUCCAUUCCAAAACAUAGGACAUUUUUUGUUGUCGUAAGUCAAAAAUUCUCUAACUUUGACAGAGUUUAUAGAAAAACAAACCAACAUCAACAGCCUUCAUUUCUUAAUCUUAUAUAGAAGUUGCAGUAUUUUAGUCUAAUAGAUGGACAUGUUUUAAAUUUUGAGGCAUUGAAACAAUUUGCAUCAUGAAGGCGUUCGACUUAAUGUUUCCAAGGUUCUGUGGCAGUGCGAGGCAUUUUGGGAGGUGGUGAGCGCCUCGCUUGGCACCUUCAUUUUCGUGAUGAUGCUGUCCUUCAGGCUGCAGUGCCACACAAGUUCGUUUGGUGUAGGUGCUGCUUGAUUUUUGGCGGUGCAUGCCGGGUGUUCGACAAUGUUUCUGAGGUUUUGUGGCAGUGCGAGGCAUUUUGGGAGGGACAUCAUCAUGCCCAACUUGAAGUCGUCCGUGACCACAACAGCGAGCGCGGUGGAGUACAUGGAUGAAGUAUUGAAGGCGUUGUCGCCAGGUAGUACCUUCUUCCCACUCAUGACACUACCUCGUAGACAACACAAGUCUAGAUGUUGCUGGUGCAGCUGUUCAACACGGGCAAGGUGCUGUUUUCCAAUGUGGUCGUCGACGGCGGCAUGUUCGUCUUGGCCCUCCUCACCUACCGCAGCUUCUUCGCGGCGCCAUCAUUCUCCCUGUCCGUCUGAUUUUCUAUCAGUUCCAAUCGGGGCUAUGUCUAUGUACUCUUAUUUUUGUCCAGAACCCUUAUGUAAGGGGAAGUGGAAAGAAAUGGAUUGGCACACUGCUGGAUGGAUCUUCCUCAAUACGUUUAUCGACCGCCGCCGCCGACGACGGAGGAGCAGCACCUCUCGUCUGUCCACCGCUGACCGCUCGUUUGUCAGCCUAGCACCGGGGUGCAUGAACGCCCAGUAUAUGCUACAGCACCGCCGCCCCUGGCCCUGCCGCCUGCGCCGGUCGUUGCCCUGUGCACUCCGCGGGCCUCGGGAAUGGCCAACCAGGACAUUUAUCGUCUUAUUCCUUGCCGAGGGGAGUCCUGCUCCAGUAGUGGUCUCAGAAGGGGCAAAUACCAUGGAUGUUGGCAGGCCUGUGCUUGUGCAGAAUGCACCAAGGACAAGACUGGAUGCAGGGACAUGGGGGACGAUGGGGAUUGGAUUGGGGUACUGUAUUGCAGCUGCAGUAGCUGAACCUGAAUGACUCGUGGUUGCUGUGGAGGGCGAUUCUGGAUUUGGCUUCGGUGCAAUGGAGGUUGAGGUGAACAGGGGCUUCAACAGUGAUGCUGUUUUAGCAAUGGAGACGAUCCAUUCCCUGUCAGCUUCAAAAUCAAGUUACCCAAUGGCUGAUCUCACCCAACUCUUCAUGACAGCUACUCAAGAAGGGAAAAGAUCAGAAUCGCAAGGCCAGAUUCUUAGGGUGGAAUGCUAUAGCUUAAUGCCCUAAUCUUUAUAUGCCUCUUCUUAUAUCUGCACUUCCAUGGGCACCGGGCGACACUAAAUUCACAAGAUACCCCCUCCACCUCAAGGUGGUACGGAGUUCUGUGUAUCACAAGAGACAUCUAGGUUGACCUCACUCUUCUUAGUGUUCAUGCCCACUACGCAAGACAACACCGCAACGCCGAUGGAGUUGGAAGAUUUCAUCAGUUUCGAUUGGAUCUGGAUGAGAUGGACUCUGCUUGUAAGGAGAGAGAGAGAGUGCAUGGCUUGGGAGGAGCAUAUUUUUGUUCAUCCUUUUCAUGAGUCAUGUUACCUGCCAUGUCAGAUUAUGUAACUUCAGAUAUUUCUGUUUUUGUUAGAAAAGUACCAAAAUAGUUUCACUUC
Molecule: RNA transcript, 4572 nt
Organism: Zea mays
Lineage: Eukaryota; Viridiplantae; Streptophyta; Magnoliopsida; Poales; Poaceae
Gene name: sodium/hydrogen exchanger - dihydroorotase - Thiamine pyrophosphate pseudogene
Exons: 18
Source: RefSeq, marked validated